CAGCCGUAAACUAUGCGCGUUAGGUGUACUGGUGACCACGAGUCACCGGGGUGCCGAAGGGAAACCGUGAAACGUGCCGCCUGGGAAGUACGGUCGCAAGGCUGAAACUUAAAGGAAUUGGCGGGGAGCACCACAACGGGUGGAGCCUGCGGUUUAAUUGGACUCAACGCCGGAAAUCUCACCGGAUAGGACAGACAUAUGAUAGUCGGGCUGAAGACUCUACUUGAUGAUCUGAGAGGAGGUGCAUGGCGUCAGUG
RNAcentral lists this ribosomal RNA (257 nucleotides) under uncultured archaeon. RNAcentral describes it as "partial 16S ribosomal RNA". It matches the Rfam family "Archaeal small subunit ribosomal RNA", at positions 748 to 1005 of the family's 1478-position model. The record is from RNAcentral.